UACGAAGGGGGCUAGCGUUGCUCGGAAUUACUGGGCGUAAAGGGAGCGUAGGCGGACAUUUAAGUCAGGGGUGAAAUCCCAGAGCUCAACUCUGGAACUGCCUUUGAUACUGGGUGUCUUGAGUGUGAUAGAGGUAUGUGGAACUCCGAGUGUAGAGGUGAAAGUCGUAGAUAUUCGGAAGAACACCAGUGGCGAAGGCGACUGACUGGACAAGUAGUGACGCUGAGGUGCGAAAGCGUGGGGAGCAAACAGG
Molecule: ribosomal RNA, 253 nt
Filed under: uncultured bacterium
Lineage: Bacteria
Description: partial 16S ribosomal RNA
Rfam family: Bacterial small subunit ribosomal RNA
Source: RNAcentral